ACUCCUACGGGAGGCAGCAGUGGGGAAUAUUGCACAAUGGGCGCAAGCCUGAUGCAGCCAUGCCGCGUGUGUGAAGAAGGCCUUCGGGUUGUAAAGCACUUUCAGUCGUGAGGAAGGUGGGUAAGUGUUAAUAGCACUAUCAUUUGACGUUAGCGACAGAAGAAGCACCGGCUAACUCCGUGCCAGCAGCCGCGGUAAUACGGAGGGUGCGAGCGUUAAUCGGAAUUACUGGGCGUAAAGCGCAUGCAGGUGGUUUGUUAAGUCAGAUGUGAAAGCCCGGGGCUCAACCUCGGAAUUGCAUUUGAAACUGGCAGACUAGAGUACUGUAGAGGGGGGUAGAAUUUCAGGUGUAGCGGUGAAAUGCGUAGAGAUCUGAAGGAAUACCGGUGGCGAAGGCGGCCCCCUGGACAGAUACUGACACUCAGAUGCGAAAGCGUGGGGAGCAAACAGGAUUAGAUACCCUGGUAGCUACGAGU
This 476-nucleotide ribosomal RNA is filed under the name uncultured bacterium. RNAcentral's name for it is "bacterial SSU rRNA". It matches the Rfam family "Bacterial small subunit ribosomal RNA", at positions 335 to 802 of the family's 1533-position model. The record is from RNAcentral.